UACGUAGGGGGCAAGCGUUGUCCGGAAUCAUUGGGCGUAAAGCGCGCGUAGGCGGCUCGAUAAGUCUGCUGUGAAAGUCCAGGGCUCAACCCUGGAAGGCCGGUGGAAACUGUCGGGCUAGAGUCCGGAAGAGGCGAGUGGAAUUCCCGGUGUAGCGGUGAAAUGCGCAGAUAUCGGGAGGAACACCAGUAGCGAAGGCGGUUAGCUGGAGCGGUGCUGACGCUAAUGCGCGAAAGCGGGGGGAGCGAUCCGG
RNAcentral lists this ribosomal RNA (253 nucleotides) under uncultured bacterium. RNAcentral describes it as "partial 16S ribosomal RNA". It matches the Rfam family "Bacterial small subunit ribosomal RNA", at positions 524 to 776 of the family's 1533-position model. The record is from RNAcentral.